RNAcentral lists this long non-coding RNA (526 nucleotides) under Homo sapiens (human). RNAcentral describes it as "non-protein coding lnc-DEF8-2:13". The record is from RNAcentral. Lineage: Eukaryota; Metazoa; Chordata; Mammalia; Primates; Hominidae.
UCAUCUGGCCUCCUGUUCCAGUGCUUCCAGGGGAUCCACGUUCAGAAGCUGACUCUGCAGGCAAGACCGACGUUAUUUUCCUGGUGGCUGUGUUCAAAACCACCCAAAGAGACUGGUGAACUAGAGAAUGCUGAGUCUGGAGGAGACGGAGGCAGGAGAGGAGGGAAGCAGGAUAACGUUGCCUGGUGGAGGCGGAUGCAGAAGGGGGGACUUCCCCUGGGAUGACGAGGAUUUCCGCAGUCUGGCCCUUUUGGGGGCAGGCGUUGCCAUGGGAUUUUUCUACCUCUAUUUUCGAGAUCCUGGAAGAGAAAUCACGUGGAAGCACUUUGUACAGUAUUACCUGGCCAGAGGUCUGGUGGACCGGCUGGAAGUCGUGAACAAACAAUCUGUGCGUGUUAUUCCUGCCCCUGGGACCUCUUCUGAAGUGAGGGGUGAAUUUAAGGCUGAGUAUUGCAGACAUAAGUUUAUUUCGUGUAAAAAUGUAGUUUUCUAUUUUUUUCAGUAAAAUACUCCCUUAGUAUCCAUC